RNAcentral lists this long non-coding RNA (5732 nucleotides) under Lactuca sativa (garden lettuce). RNAcentral describes it as "long non-coding RNA (LSAT_LNC001579)". Lineage: Eukaryota; Viridiplantae; Streptophyta; Magnoliopsida; Asterales; Asteraceae. The record is from RNAcentral.
GCAGCUAUGGAAUUAGUGCCCGUUGUAUAAACCCCGGUCACGAGGUGACUUUGUGUCUAUUCCUUAGGAUGAAUCCUUAGGAAGGAGUGAUAGUUGAUUCUUAGGGUAAACCCUUAAGAAAUAAAUAAAAUAAUGGGGUUUGGGGUAGUUAGGUUGAUUGAUUGAUGUAUAAACAUAAUAAAUUUAUGUAUUGUGGGUUGAAAACCCUAUAUGCUCACCAGGCUUCCAAGCCUGACCCACUCAGCUGUUUAUAUUACAGGUAGAGGACCCCGAGCAUAGUCGGAUGAUGAUGAUGAGUGAAUUUUGGAUUAUAGGCCAGUAGUUACAAAUAACUGUCGUAAGGCUUAUAAUGUCUUGUUUAUGCUUUUGAUCUGUAUUGGAACAUGACAUCCCGAGGUUUUGAUAUAAAAGGAAAUGAUAUAUUUCUUAAAGAAAGGUUUUGACAAACUUUUAUCAUAUUUUGUUUUGGGGACCAACUCCGCAACAUCUUUUAUAAAGAUUUCUCUGAUUUGAUUUUUAAAAAGCAUAAAUUAAAUCGGUCUUUUCUGGCCGAGAAAUUAGGGGAUGUCACAGUUGGUAUCAGAGCAUUAGUUUAAGCGAACUAAGAAAUUGUAGGAUUUCUAGACUUAAACUUAGAAUGCUAAGUGAUGAUUGUGAGAUGAGUGUCUACCAUAAUUUAGACACGAGCACUAGUUUAUUUUAGGAAGGAUGCCUAAAAUGCUUUUAUGUGCUAAAUGUUUUGUGUUAUAGCUAUAAUGAUGCUAUUAUUUGUUCGGAUCUAUGGUCUGUUGCCGACCGGAUCUGGAAACCUUAUGUGUGUAGGAUUCUAAACGUAUGACUACGAUAUUGGAACUAACAUAUAAACGUUUCGAAGACUUAACAUCUAACAAAAAAAAUGAAGAUCUAAAUUCACCUACGAUUGGUGUAUAGAUCGAAAUGCCGAGUACUCAAAGUGGGUUCGGAAGUGAUAAUCCACAGCCUGAGCCAAUCACGAUGACUGGAGUGCAGGCAAUGGUACGUACGAUGUUAGGUGAACAGAUGGAAGAAACAAAACGUUUACUUCAACAAAGUAAGGAUGAACUUAUUGUGCCAAUAGGUCAGACAUCUGUUCUUGAGGAAACUAUUAGGGUUGCUAAGUCUAUUGAAGAAAUGAUCAAUGACACAACCGCCAACAAAGUUGAAGUUGGCAAGAAGAGGAAAUUUGAGGGGUCUUCAAGGCCCAACAAGAGCAACAUAUCCUCAAAGUUUGGCAAAAGAAGAGAUAAAGGAAAAUGGUGCGGGAAGUGCAAAAAUAAACACUCUGGGAAUUGUGACGGGAAGGUGAAGUGCUUUAAGUGUGGAGAAAUAGGGCAUUAUGCCAAUAAGUGUACGAUUCCCAAUGAGGUAUGCUACGGAUGUAAAGAAGAAGGCCAUAUUUCUAAGAAUUGGCAGAAAAACAAUGAAGUAACAAGGCCAAGUGCACCAUCAAUGCCAAAGGAAUUUCAGGAUAUCUUUGACGAAGCGAUUAAUAACACUAGGAAGUAGAAGUGAAGACUUGAUACCCGAAGAUCAAGUUACAAAGUAGUAAUAAGAAUAGUAACAAGUAGUUUAGCCUAUGAGAGGCAUAGUAUAGGGUAAACUUGAACCUUUGUGUAAUCGUUUCAAGGAAAUAAAAUAAACCCUGGUUUUGUCGUCUGAUGAAUAGAAUGGCUGGUGUAAUUUUUGAAGUUGUCCCAAUCAUCUGGAAUUUCCAUCACCAACCAAGUUGAAGUGGAGUUGAUCAUUGAAGAUACGCAUGAAAAAAGUCCUAGUAGAGUCUAGGAAAAUUCUAUGAUUAAUUGGACACAUUCGUAUGUGUUAAAUUGUUUUGUGAUUUUAGGACUUGGGGACUGCGAGACAGUACUUGGGACGAGUAUGAGUAGGUGUGAAUAGUAGUAGAGAUCUAUACUACUGGAAGCACAGGACUCGCACUUGGAUCAGGGAAAGUCACAAGGUUACCAAGAAGCUAUUAUUUGAUUCCGUCUUGUUCUAGUCUGUCGUUACCAUCGUUUCGGUAAUGACUAAGAAGAUGAUUGUUAUUCCGACCUUAGAGGUCAUAUCAAAUUGAGUCCGACUACGAUGAGUUUAUUAUGUGGUUCAGAGAACCAAGUUCGAUGUAACAUUUGACUUAAGCCAGAAGAUUGAAAUGAAAGAUGAUCAAAGCGAUCAAUAGAAGUAUCGCACUCAUUGUUAAAGAAGUUGGUAGUUAGAAAUGAUACAUGUUGAACUGUGAUUGUAUCACAUUAGAACAUGAAGGAAGGUAUAAUUUGUUCUGAAAUUUGUCCCUAGGAGAUCUGAGUCUAAGUAGUGCAGUAUACAAUGAGAGAUCAUUAGAACAUGACCCAUCGGUCUGUUACAAUAAAUGAAGGAAAAUACUUAUUCCAAGAAGAAGAAGGAGUCCUCAAUAAGGAUUUAUUUUGUAACUCGAAGGUUACAAUUGAAAGUCCUAUGGAGAUCUGAAGCUUUUUAGGAUUAGCUGGAUAUUAUUACUGAAUUAUCCAAGGCUUUUCUUCGAUCGCGACUCCAUUGACAGCUUUGACCCACAAAGGAGCUGUCUAUACUUGGAAUGAGAAGCAUAGGAAGCUUUGAGAAGUCAAAGAAGAAGUUGUGUGAAGCACCGAUUCUUUCGUUACCUAAAGGAGUUGAUGACUUCACAGUUUAUAGUGAUGCCUCUAGAGUUGGGUUAGGAUGUGUUCUGACCCAAAGGGAUAAGGUGAUAGCGUAUGCAUCGAGGCAAUUGAAAGAACAUGAAAAGAACUACCCCACUUACGAUUUGGAGUUGGCAGCGGUAGUAUUCUCCCUAAAGAUAUGGAGGCAUUAUCUUUAUGGCACAAAGUGUAAACUUUUCACUGAUCAUAAGAGUCUCCAAUAUCUCUUUGAUCAGAAGGAAUUGAACAUCAGGAAACGACGCUGGCUAGUAUUACUCAAGGACUACGACUGUGAAAUACUUUACCACCCUGGUAAAGCAAAUGUUGUUGCUGAUACUCUCAGUCAGAAGGUAAGUAUUCAAAAGAAAAGGGCCAAGAGCGUUAACAAUUAAAGUUGUCUUGACAAUUGUGAAAAGUAUAAAGAAAGCUCAAGAGGAAGUUUUAGAGAAAAAUGACCGAAAGGAGGAACGUUUGAGUAAAACGUUGGUGUUUGAUACAAACGGUCAAGGACUGGAGGUAUUCAAAGAUAGGAUUUGGGUACCUAGGAUGGGAGGAAUAAGAGGUCUUCUGAUGGAAGAAGCUCACAAGACCAUGUACUCGAUUCAUCCCGACAAUACGAAAAUGUAUAGAGAUCUAAAACCCUAUUAUUGGUAGCCGACGAUGAAGCUCGAAGUUGCUAAAGUAUGUGACUGAGUAUGUAACUUGUUCCAAGGUUAAGGCACAACAUCAGAAAACGUAUGGGAGUUUAGAACCUUUACAUGUACCCAUGGGUAAAUGGGAAUAUAUCACUAUGGAUUCUGUGACUAAACUGCCCAGAACAAGGAACGGUCACAACAUGAUUUGGGUGGCCGUUGAUCGCUUCACUAAGAGUGUGCAUUUCAUAGCAGCCAACGAGAAAUGGUCUAUGGAUAAACUUGCGAAUUCUUAUGUGAAGAAAAGUGUGAGGCUUCAUGGUGUUUCGUUAACGAUUGUAUCCGAUCGUGAAAGACAUUUUACCUCAAGGUUUUAGAGGAGUCUAUAAGAGGAAUUGGGUACCAAGUUGUGUUUGAAUACAACUUACCGUCUGCAAACUGAUGGUCAGAGCGAAUGAACGAUUCAAACGUUGUAGGAUAUGUUGAGAACAUGUACCCUAGAAUUUCAAGGUAACUGGGAUGAACACUUACCUUUAGUAGAAUUCACCUAUAAUAAUAGUUUCCACUCAAGUGUCAAGAUGGUACCUUAUCACGCUUUGCAUGUGAAAAAGUGUCGGAUGCCAUCAUGUUGGUUGGGAGCUGAGGAAAAGAAGUUUAUGGGACUUGAAAUAGUCCAUUAGAUUGCUGAAAAGUUGUAAGUGAUUAGGGAAAAAGAUGUUAGCUUCUCAAAAGAGCUAUGCUGAUAAGAAGAGACAACCGAUAUCAUUCGAAGUUUGAGAUUCGGUUUCACUUAAAGUCUCGUCGUGGAAGGGACUUAUAAGAUUUGGUAGAAGGGGAAAGUUGAGUCCAAGGUUUAUUGGACCAUUUAAAGUUCUUCAGAGAAUCCAAAAUCGAAGUUGGAGAUUCGGUUUCAAUUAAAGUCUCGCAUGAACAGUAACCGCGGUCCACUAGCAGUCCGACGCAUGUACUAUCCUCGUGUCCGAGCCUCGCACAUGGGUCACGAGUCCGCGGUCCAAUCAGAGGCUGCCACCGAGUCCCUCGCACCUGCGCACCCUCGCCUGUGGACCCCACCACCAAGCCGACUUCGGACCAGUAGAAUUCGGUCCAAUCACAGGAAGCCAGCAAGCCUUCCCACGUGCAGCACUCGUGCUAGCCUUCCCAUGCGAGCCCUCGGAUCUGUGGCGCAUGGUUCCUUCUCAGCCGUCCGAUCAGAAGAUCCACCCUAUAAAUAGAAGGUUGCGAGCCUUCCCGGGUAACUUUGGAAAUUUGCCACUUUUCACCCUAAAUCUCAUACUUCUUUCAUAUUAGCAUCCCCUAAAGCCCCGAUAUCAAUUGUAAACCCCGGAAUACUCCAUGAAGUGUUCGUGAAGCCCGAAAAAUUUAUCUUUUCGGUUUCGAAGCCCGACCUUUCGCAGAGCCCGGUUUCUCAAUAAAACUCCCGGUUUUAUUAGAAACGAUCGUUUUAGGAAACGAAUUGCUGCCCGGUUUUCAUUAAAUCAAGUGAGUGUGUAGUUACUUUCACCUUACACAUAGAUAUGAAGUAUUUUACAUAAAAUACGUGUUGUGUGAAUAUAUAUUGUUUGUUUAUUUGAGAUGGGUGCUGAAGGAAUGAUUUAUACAUGUUUUUAAAUAAUUUAAACUAUAUAUGUAUUUUUAUCUACGAAAAAUGUUGGGUAAAACAUGGGUAGAUGAAAUAGUGGGUAUGAUGAAAGGUGAGUUGGAUAAAGGAGAUGAUCAAUAAUAUUGAUCAUGAGUUGAGGGUGAGUGGUGAAAAUUUGAGAGAAUCACUUACCCAAAUUGUUGGCCCCCGUCAUUCAGCAGAGUAUGGAUGACAACCAUGGACUAUUCUAGACAGUCUAUGGAACACUAGCAGGCCCGCAACCUGUAGGUGUAAUGAACUAUAUGUUCAUUUGUUGUACUCUAAAACCCAUUGACAUGUAUUGCAGGAGAGAAUACCUGUAAAUAAUAUUGUCGAUAAAUGAGAGCUAUGGACUUAGCACAUGUUGAAUAAACUUUGGCAGCUAUGGAAUUAGUGCCCGUUGUAUAAACCCCGGUCACGAGGUGACUUUGUGUCUAUUCCUUAGGAUGAAUCCUUAGGAAGGAGGGAUAGUUGAUUCUUAGGGUAAACCCUUAAGAAAUAAAUAAAAUAAUGGGGUUUGGGGUAAUUCGGUUGAUUGAUUGAUGUUUAAACAUAAUAAAUUUAUGUAUUGUGGGUUGAAAACCCUAUAUGCUCACCAGGCUUCCAAGCCUGGCCCACUCAGCUGUUUAUAUUACAGGUAGAGGACCCCGAGCAUAGUCGGAUGAUGAUGAUGAGUGAAUUUUGGAUUAUAGGCUAGUAGUUACAAAUAACUGUCGUAAGGCUUAUAAUGUCUUGUUUAUGCUUUUGAUCUGCAUCGGAACAUGACAUCCCGAGGUUUUGAUAUAAAAGGAAAUG